GGGGAUUUAGCUCAGUGGUAGAGCGCUUGCCUCAAAAGCGCAAGGCCCUGGGUUCGGUUCUCAGCUCCG
Molecule: transfer RNA, 69 nt
Filed under: Rattus norvegicus (Norway rat)
Lineage: Eukaryota; Metazoa; Chordata; Mammalia; Rodentia; Muridae
Rfam family: tRNA
About the family: Transfer RNA (tRNA) molecules are approximately 80 nucleotides in length.
Source: Rfam by way of RNAcentral